This 481-nucleotide long non-coding RNA is filed under the name Setaria viridis. RNAcentral describes it as "long non-coding RNA (SVIR_LNC003609)". Lineage: Eukaryota; Viridiplantae; Streptophyta; Magnoliopsida; Poales; Poaceae. The record is from RNAcentral.
ACGCGUGCAUGCUCGUGCGGCUCCUGGGACACGCGGGCUACCACAUGAGCCCACGAUAGCAUGCGGCGGAACGCAGGCAGCUGCGUCAGCCCGCGACAAGCUGCCCCACUUGCAAGCCUGGAUUCGAUGGAAAAGAGUUGGCACGUGACGAGAGAAAGAGCGUGGCUACAAAAGAUUGAUUAAAGAACCGACCAGAUUUUUCUUUACAUGUAGUACAGAUUGCUUGUGUUUCCCUUUCCGGUCAUGUACCGGUAGGCAAAUAAAUAAUAAUAAUAAUAGCAUGUACAAUGCAAAUGAGAAUGAAAAUAAGGGGUCCAAUAUUUACACAUGCAAGCUUUAUCUUUGUACUUUUGUAGCGUUGAUACUACAAACCUUCCUUAGAUAUGGCUACCUUCAAGUAUCGUUUAUAUUACUAUGGAUUGGUCAUAAUUUUUAGCAUGCCAGCGCUUUGGUGUCUGUAAAUCUUUGUACAAGUCUCUUC